UAGAGUUUGAUCAUGGCUCAGGACGAACGCUGGCGGCAUGCCUAAUACAUGCAAGUCGAGCGCGGGAAGCAGACUGAAGUCUUCGGACGGACGUUUGUGGAACGAGCGGCGGAUGGGUGAGUAUCACGUGGGCAACCUGCCUAUGAGAUCGGGAUAACUCGCGGAAACGUGAACUAAUACCGAAUAAUUCUUCGAAUCACAUGAUCUGAAGAUAAAAGACGGCUUUUAUGCUGUCACUCAUAGAUGGGCCCACGGCCGCAUUAGCUAGUUGGUGGGAUAAAAGCUCACCAAGGCGACGAUGCGUAGCCGACCUGAGAGGGCGAUCGGCCACACUGGGACUGAGACACGGCCCAGACUCCUACGGGAGGCAGCAGUAGGGAAUCUUCCGCAAUGGACGAAAGUCUGACGGAGCAAUGCCGCGUGAGUGAUGAAGGUUUUCGGAUCGUAAAACUCUGUUGUUAGGGAAGAACAAGUACGACAGUAACUGGUCGUACCUUGACGGUACCUAACCAGAAAGCCCCGGCUAACUACGUGCCAGCAGCCGCGGUAAUACGUAGGGGGCAAGCGUUGUCCGGAAUUAUUGGGCGUAAAGCGCGCGCAGGCGGUCCUUUAAGUCUGAUGUGAAAGCUCACGGCUUAACCGUGAAAGGUCAUUGGAAACUGAAGGGCUUGAGUACAGAAGAGGAGAGUGGAAUUCCAUGUGUAGUGGUGAAAUACGUAGAUAUAUGGAGGAACACCAGUGGCGAAGGCGACUCUCUGGUCUGUUACUGACGCUGAGGCGCGAAAGCGUGGGAGCAAACAGGAUUAGAUACCCUGGUAGUCC
RNAcentral lists this ribosomal RNA (822 nucleotides) under uncultured bacterium. RNAcentral describes it as "bacterial SSU rRNA". It matches the Rfam family "Bacterial small subunit ribosomal RNA", at positions 1 to 796 of the family's 1533-position model. The record is from RNAcentral.